UCCAUUUCUGCUACUGAGGAUGGACACAAAGAAUGCAAAGUUGAUUAGAUUCAUUUUUGCGGCUCAGUGAUCCUAAAGCUUUUCUAAAAUAUGGAUUUCCUGAACUAUAGUGUCUGCCUCUUGCAUGUGAAUAAAAUCUUCUCUAAACUAUCACUAGGUAAAAAAACAAACAAACAAACAACAACAACAACAACAACAACAACAACAACAACAACAACAACAACAACAACAACAACUACCAUAGCAAGUGCAGUGGAUUAUUCAUCAAUUCAUCAAACAUCCAGAAGUAGAAGACCAGUCUUCAUGGGAUGAAGAUGCACCAACCAGUGUGAAGAUUGAAGGAACUACAUGGGAAUGACCAGAGCACCAGGAACUGCAGCUCCCUGGCAGCCAUCCCUACUCUGAGAGUUCACUGCAUGAUGUCAUGACUUCAAUCAUCCUGAAAUUUGCUGGAAAAGCAAUGCUGCCAGGCACACAUAGUCCAAGAGGUUCUUGCAGUGUACACAUGGUGGAGGAGCCAACUAUGUGCUGCUGGACCUUGCUCUUACAAAGGAGGAAGCACUAGUUGGGGGUGUGAAGACUGGGGCCAGCCUUAGCUACAGUGACCAUGAGAAAGCAGAG
This 621-nucleotide long non-coding RNA is filed under the name Gallus gallus (chicken). RNAcentral describes it as "lncRNA (ENSGALG00010010644.1)". The record is from RNAcentral. Lineage: Eukaryota; Metazoa; Chordata; Aves; Galliformes; Phasianidae.